AUGUUUUUGGAAUUUUUGUGGAAUUUUUUGGGGAUAUUUUGGGAAUGUUUUGGGAAUAUUGUGGGGAUAUUUUGGGGAAUAUUUUGUGGAUAUUUUGGGAAUUUUUGGGGAUAUUCUGCAGAUAUUUUGGGGAUAUUUUGGGAAUUUUUUGGGAUAUUCUGGAGAUAUUUUGAGAAUUUUUUGGGAUAUUUUGGGGACAUUUUGGGGACAUUCUGGGGCUAUUUUGGGGAUGUUCUGGGGACAUUUUGGGAAUGUUCUGGGGAUAUUCUGGGGAAUAUUUGGGGAAUUUUUGUGGAUAUUUUGGGGAUAUUUUGGGGACAUUCUGGGGAUAUUUUGGGGACAUUUUGGGGAUAUUCUGGGGAUAUUUUGGGAAUUUUUGGGGAUAUUUUGGGGAUAUUCUGCAGAUAUUCUGGGGACAUUUUGGGGAUAUUCUGUGGAUAUUUUGGGGAUAUUCUGGGGAUAUUUUGGGGACAUUUUGGGGAUAUUCUGGAGAUAUUUUGGGAAUUUUUGGGGAUAUUUUGGGGACAUUUUGGGGAUAUUUUGGGAAUUUUUGGGGAUAUUCUGGGGAUAUUUUGGGAAUUUUGGGGGAUAUUCUGCAGAUACUUUGGGAAUUUUUUGGGAUAUUCUGCAGAUAUUUUGGAGAUAUUUUGGGGAUUUUUGCGGAUAUUUUGGGGAUAUUUUGGGAAUUUUUGGGGAUAUUCUGGGGAUAUAUUGUGGAUAUUCUGGGGAUAUUUUGGGGAAUAUUUUGGGGAUAUUUUGGGGAUAUUUUGGGAAUUUUUGGUGAUAUUCUGCAGAUAUUUUGGGGAUAUUUUGGGGAAUAUUUUGGGAAUUUUUGGGGAUAUUCUGGGGAUAUUCUGGGGAUAUUUUGGGAAAUUUUGCAGAUAUUUUGGGAAUUUUUGUGGAUAUUUUUGGGAUAUUUUGGGAAUUUUGGGGGAUAUUCUGCAGAUAUUUUGGGAAUGUUCUGGGGAUAUUUGGGGAUAUUUUGAGAAGUUUUGGGGAUAUUCUGCAGAUAUUUAG
This 1017-nucleotide long non-coding RNA is filed under the name Taeniopygia guttata (zebra finch). RNAcentral's name for it is "lncRNA (ENSTGUG00000021967.1)". Lineage: Eukaryota; Metazoa; Chordata; Aves; Passeriformes; Estrildidae. The record is from RNAcentral.